AUAACAUGUCCUAGAGCAGGGAUUCUGAAUCUUUUUUCUGUCAUAGGCUCUCUUUACAAUCCAAGGAAGCCAAUGGACCCCUUCUUUAGAAUCCUGUUUUCUUCCUACAUUAAUGAUGUAAAGAAAUGCUAAGUUGCAAUUAAAGAUUUAUUGGAGUACCAGGACAAGGCAGAAGUCAGAAUGACUGGAGAUGGUGUGGGAUGCAGUGCAUGAACAAAUAGAAGGGAAAGAAAUGAAGGUGGACGACCUUAGCUCCAUGACUUCUCUGAACAGUAUAAAGAAAACACCUGUGCCAAAGAUUUUUUAUAUUUGCUUAGUGCAAGGUCUCUUCCACCCCUUCCCCAGGAGAACCAUCCCCCAGGAAUUCACAAGCCUUACCCAGGUGAUUAUCAGAGAAGACCACAAAAGAAAGUAAGCAUCUUUACUGAGGCUUAAAGGAAGGCAAGGAUUCUGAAUGUCAGAGUUGAAGAGAAAGUGCAUUUCUGGAGAGGGAUCAACUGCCCCUGAAUGUACAACAUGAUUGGCAAGUGCCCUACCUGAAAGAGAAGAUCUCAGGAUCUCCAAGAUAACUCUGGUCUCCAAAUUAUAUUGCUAAGAGAGUCCAUAAUCAGUGAGAAUUUAUGGCAUCCAGAAGUCAGUGAAGUAUUAAAGAUGACUG
This 658-nucleotide long non-coding RNA is filed under the name Monodelphis domestica (gray short-tailed opossum). RNAcentral's name for it is "lncRNA (ENSMODG00000034935.2)". The record is from RNAcentral. Lineage: Eukaryota; Metazoa; Chordata; Mammalia; Didelphimorphia; Didelphidae.